RNAcentral lists this ribosomal RNA (253 nucleotides) under uncultured bacterium. RNAcentral's name for it is "partial 16S ribosomal RNA". It matches the Rfam family "Archaeal small subunit ribosomal RNA", at positions 474 to 727 of the family's 1478-position model. The record is from RNAcentral.
UACCAGCACCCCGAGUGGUCGGGACGAUUAUUGGGCCUAAAGCAUCCGUAGCCGGUCAUGCAAGUCUUCCGUUAAAUCCAGCCGCUCAACGGUUGGGCUGCGGAGGAUACUACGUGGCUAGGAGGCGGGAGAGGCAAGCGGUACUCAGUGGGUAGGGGUAAAAUCCUUUGAUCCAUUGAAGACCACCAGUGGCGAAGGCGGCUUACUGGGGCCUUUCUGACGCUGAGGAACGAAAGCUAGGGGAGCGAACGGG